UACGUAGGGGGCUAGCGUUGUCCGGAAUCAUUGGGCGUAAAGAGCGUGUAGGCGGUCCGGUAAGUCCGUUGUGAAAGUCAGGGGCUCAACCCUUGAAUGCCGGCGGAUACUGUCGGGCUAGAGUCCGGAAGAGGCGAGUGGAAUUCCCGGUGUAGCGGUGGAAUGCGCAGAUAUCAGGAAGAACACCAACGGCGAAGGCAGCUCGCUGGGACGGUACUGACGCUGAGACGCGAAAGCGUGGGGAGCGAACAGG
This 253-nucleotide ribosomal RNA is filed under the name uncultured bacterium. Its description in RNAcentral is "partial 16S ribosomal RNA". It matches the Rfam family "Bacterial small subunit ribosomal RNA", at positions 524 to 776 of the family's 1533-position model. The record is from RNAcentral.